GUAAAGUUGAGUGCAGGUGGAUGUUUUAGUGAAAACGAAGUCUGAGACACAAGCUGCUGAUGUAGGUGUGACACCAAGAUGGAUGAUGCAGACAAGAUCGUGAAUAAAAUCUUCUCAUGGAUGGAUCUACAAAAGGACAGUGUAGACAAGUUGAACGAGCUAGCCAGUGAAUUGGAGGAACAGCAGAAGACUAUUAAUGUCACUAAAGUUGUCGGGAGCUCAGUGUCUGUGGGUGGUGCAGCUGCCAUGACAGUAGCAGGUGUAGUAAGUGUUUUAACAGGAGGACUGUCGAUACCUUUGUUAGCUGGAACAGGAGCAGUGGCAUCAGGUCUUGGUUUGGCUACUAGUGUGGGUUCUGAUGUUGUUGGUGCUGUCUUAUCAAGUAGGACUAUGAAAGAGGCCCAAAAUAUUUCAAAAAGCCUUGAUGAUCUUACAGCAGAAAUCACAGCACUCAUGGAGUCCCUCUUAACAAAAGCAACAGGCAGACAGCAACGGGGUAAAAAUGUUUCUCCAGAAGAAUAUGUGAAGGAGGCGAUCUUGAGAGCAAUGGCCAAACGCAAGGGUUUGAUAUUAAAGGAGAAGGACAGUUUAAUCAAGCUGUUAUCUCAGCUGCCUCUUGAGAAGAUCUUUAAGAACGACGCAGAAUCAGACCUCCUCAAAAAGUCAACAACGGAGGUGCCACUGCUUUCAGACUUUGUUACAGGGUUGGUCUCAGAAAAACUCAUGAAAAAUAAGGUCAGCAAAGCCAAUUCCCUGGGUUUAAAGGCAUCGACUACAGCAGUUGGAAAAAUUGGCAGAGGGGCAGUAGGACUUCUGUUUUCGGUUCCUGAGCUCAUCGAAAACUGUAAAAAUCUGAACAACCAUGAGACAGACGCCAGUCGGUACCUGAGAGUGAAGGCUGGAGCAAUACAAGAAGCUUACGAAGCCAUGAAAUCAGAGCUGGAUGAAAUUGAGGCAACGUGUGCGAGGUUAGCUGACACGAAGUGGAAGAAGUACAGAAAGAGAAGCUGUUUGUGUUCAUGUGCUUCUUCAUCACCAUGAUAUAACCAAAGAGGGAUCACUGAAUCAUUACUCAUCAUGUCUUUAUCCUGUCUUCCUUAACCGGUCGCAGCAGAUGGCCGCCCCUCCCUGAGCCUGGUUCUGCCGGAGGUUUCUUCCUGUUAAAAGGGAGUUUUUCCUUCCCACUGUCGCCAAAGUGCUUGCUCAUAGGGGGUCAUAUGAUUGUUGGGUUUUUCUCUGUAUCUAUGAAGCGCCUUGAGGCGACUUUUGUUGUGAUUUGGCGCUAUAUAAAUAAAAUUGAAUUGAUUUGAUUUGAAAGAUUGGAUAUUCCACCUGCUAAGAAUGUUUUAAUGCAGUACAGUUGUUAUUAUCAUCGGUUGUCACCUCCUGCUUAUGACAGUUAAAAUAAAU
Long non-coding RNA from Astatotilapia calliptera (eastern happy), 1410 nucleotides. NCBI's taxonomy places the organism in Eukaryota, Metazoa, Chordata, Actinopteri, Cichliformes, Cichlidae. The record is from Ensembl.